This 253-nucleotide ribosomal RNA is filed under the name uncultured bacterium. RNAcentral describes it as "partial 16S ribosomal RNA". It matches the Rfam family "Bacterial small subunit ribosomal RNA", at positions 524 to 776 of the family's 1533-position model. The record is from RNAcentral.
UACGUAGGGUGCAAGCGUUAAUCGGAAUUACUGGGCGUAAAGCGUGCGCAGGCGGUGAUGUAAGACAGAUGUGAAAUCCCCGGGCUCAACCUGGGAACUGCAUUUGUGACUGCAUCGCUGGAGUACGGCAGAGGGGGAUGGAAUUCCGCGUGUAGCAGUGAAAUGCGUAGAUAUGCGGAGGAACACCGAUGGCGAAGGCAAUCCCCUGGGCCUGUACUGACGCUCAUGAACGAAAGCGUGGGGAGCAAACAGG